This 660-nucleotide ribosomal RNA is filed under the name uncultured bacterium. RNAcentral's name for it is "bacterial SSU rRNA". It matches the Rfam family "Bacterial small subunit ribosomal RNA", at positions 8 to 694 of the family's 1533-position model. The record is from RNAcentral.
AGAGUUUGAUCCUGGCUCAGGACGAACGCUGGCGGUGUGCUUCACACAUGCAAGUCGAACGGAGUAGCAAUACUCAGUGGCGGACGGGUGAGUAACACGUGGGAAUCUACCAUUAGGUGGGGAAUAACAGGCCGAAAGGACUGCUAAUGCCGCAUAUGUAGGCAUCUCGACAGAGAUGUUUAUGAAAGGAGUAAUCCGCCUUUUGAUGAGCCCGCGUCCGAUUAGCUAGUUGGUAGGGUAAAAGCCUACCAAGGCGACGAUCGGUAGGUGGUCUGAGAGGAUGAUCACCCACAAUGGGACUGAGGCACGGCCCAUACUCCUACGGGAGGCAGCAGUGGGGAAUUUUACGCAAUGGGGGAAACCCUGACGUAGCGACACCGCGUGAGCGAAGAAGCCCUUUGGGGUGUAAAGCUCUGUCAACAGGAACGAAACAAAUGACGGUACCUGUGGAGGAAGCAUCGGCUAACUACGUGCCAGCAGCCGCGGUAAGACGUAGGAUGCAAGCGUUGUCCGGAUUUAUUGGGCGUAAAGAGUUCGUAGGCGGUUUGUUAAGUCUGAUGUUAAAGACCGGGGCUCAACCUCGGAAAUGCAUUGGAUACUGGCAGACUGGAGUGCAGUAGAGGCUAGUGGAAUUCCCAGUGUAGCGGUGAAAUGCGUAGA